AUGGUUUCAUUAGAAUGUAUCACUGUGGUGGACUUUCGGUGUGUGUUUAUUGUGUGUUUGUGGUCUCCAGCCGGUCCCACGGUGAAGCCCUCCGUGUCUCUGCUCCCUCCCUCCUCUCUGCAGCUGUCUGAGGGAUCGGCCUCGCUGCUCUGCCUGCUGUCUGCCUAUUCUCCACAAGGGGCGCUGGUGAGCUGGACAGUGGACGGCUCAGAGGUGAAGGACGGGGUUCUGACCAGCGCCGAAGAACCGAAGAAGGACGGGUACACUCGCAGCAGCACCCUGACCCUCAGCAAAGCACUCUGGGAAAAGGGGGAGGAGUUUGUCUGUAAGGUCUCCCAUGACAACGUCGAUCAUCCGGUCACGUUCAGAAAGAGCCAGUGUGAAGUCUAA
Molecule: non-coding RNA, 390 nt
Organism: Ictalurus punctatus (channel catfish)
Lineage: Eukaryota; Metazoa; Chordata; Actinopteri; Siluriformes; Ictaluridae
Source: the annotation of a RefSeq genome assembly